Molecule: ribosomal RNA, 492 nt
Filed under: uncultured bacterium
Lineage: Bacteria
Description: bacterial SSU rRNA
Rfam family: Bacterial small subunit ribosomal RNA
Source: RNAcentral
AUUGAACGCUGGCGGAAUGCUUUACACAUGCAAGUCGAACGGCAGCACGGGGCAACCUGGUGGCGAGUGGCGAACGGGUGAGUAAUAUAUCGGAACGUGCCCAAUCGUGGGGGAUAACGUAGCGAAAGUUACGCUAAUACCGCAUACGAUCUACGGAUGAAAGCGGGGGAUCGCAAGACCUCGCGCGAAUGGAGCGGCCGAUAUCAGAUUAGGUAGUUGGUGGGGUAAAGGCUCACCAAGCCAACGAUCUGUAGCUGGUCUGAGAGGACGACCAGCCACACUGGAACUGAGACACGGUCCAGACUCCUACGGGAGGCAGCAGUGGGGAAUUUUGGACAAUGGGCGCAAGCCUGAUCCAGCCAUUCCGCGUGCAGGAUGAGCCUCGGUUGUAAACUGCUUUGUACGACGAAACGUCUGCCCUAAUACGUCGGGCUAAUGACGGUACCGUAAGAAUAAGCACCGGCUACUAACGUGCCAGCAGCCGCGGUAACU